RNAcentral lists this ribosomal RNA (332 nucleotides) under uncultured bacterium. RNAcentral describes it as "bacterial SSU rRNA". It matches the Rfam family "Bacterial small subunit ribosomal RNA", at positions 568 to 898 of the family's 1533-position model. The record is from RNAcentral.
CGCGUAGGCGGGAUGGCAAGUCGGUCGUGAAAUCCUUCGGCUCAACCGAAGAACGCCGGCCGAUACUGCCGUUCUUGAGGGAUGCAGAGGAGACUGGAAUUCCCGGUGUAGCGGUGAAAUGUGUAGAGAUCGGGAGGAACACCGGUGGCGAAGGCGGGUCUCUGGGCAUCUCCUGACGCUGAGGCGCGAAAGCGUGGGGAGCAAACGGGAUUAGAUACCCCGGUAGUCCACGCCAUAAACGAUGACGACUAGGUGUGGGGUGGUUCAGUCCACUCCGUGCCGCAGCUAACGCAUUAAGUCGUCCGCCUGGGGAGUACGGCCGCAAGGUUGAA